Molecule: ribosomal RNA, 497 nt
Filed under: uncultured bacterium
Lineage: Bacteria
Description: partial 16S ribosomal RNA
Rfam family: Bacterial small subunit ribosomal RNA
Source: RNAcentral
GAUGAACGCUGGCGGCGUGCCUAAUACAUGCAAGUCGAGCGGACGGACGAGAAGCUUGUUUCUCUGAUGUUUGCGGCGGGCGGGUGAGUAACACGUGGAUAACCUACCUUUAAGACUGGGAAAACUUCGGGAAACCGGAGCUUAUACCGGAUGAUAUUUUGAACCGCAUUGUUCAAAAGUGAAAGACGGUCUUGCUGUCACUUAUAGAUGGAUCCGCGCUGCAUUAGCUAGUUGGGAAGGUAACGGCUUACCAAGGCAACGAUGCAUAGCCGACCUGAGAGGGUGAUCGGCCACACUGGAACUGAGACACGGUCCAGACUCCUACGGGAGGCAGCAGUAGGGAAUCUUCCGCAAUGGGCGAAAGCCUGACGGAGCAACGCCGCGUGAGUGAUGAAGGUCUUCGGAUCGUAAAACUCUGUUAUUAGGGAAGAACAUAUGUGUAAGUAACUGUGCACAUCUUGACGGUACCUAAUCAGAAAGCCACGGCUAACUACGUG